UACGAAGGGUGCAAGCGUUACUCGGAAUUACUGGGCGUAAAGCGUGCGUAGGUGGUUUGUUAAGUCUGCUGUGAAAUCCCCGGGCUCAACCUGGGAAUGGCAGUGGAUACUGGCAAGCUAGAGUGCGGUAGAGGGAUGUGGAAUUCCCGGUGUAGCGGUGAAAUGCGUAGAGAUCGGGAGGAACACCAGUGGCGAAGGCGGCAUCAUGGACCAGCACUGACACUCAGGCACGAAAGCGUGGGGAGCAAAAAGG
This 253-nucleotide ribosomal RNA is filed under the name uncultured bacterium. Its description in RNAcentral is "partial 16S ribosomal RNA". It matches the Rfam family "Bacterial small subunit ribosomal RNA", at positions 524 to 776 of the family's 1533-position model. The record is from RNAcentral.